This 500-nucleotide ribosomal RNA is filed under the name uncultured bacterium. Its description in RNAcentral is "bacterial SSU rRNA". It matches the Rfam family "Bacterial small subunit ribosomal RNA", at positions 8 to 502 of the family's 1533-position model. The record is from RNAcentral.
AGAGUUUGAUCCUGGCUCAGGAUGAACGCUAGCGGCAGGCUUAACACAUGCAAGUCGAACGGUAACAGGAAAAGCUUGCUUUUUGCUGACGAGUGGCGAACGGGUGCGUAACACGUAUGCAACCUACCUUUAACUGAGGGAUAGCCCAAAGAAAUUUGGAUUAAUACCUCAUAACAUUACGAGAUCUCAUGGUCAUGUAAUUAAAACUCCGGUGGUUAAAGAUGGGCAUGCGCAACAUUAGCUAGUUGGUAAGGUAAUGGCUUACCAAGGCAACGAUGUUUAGGGGGUCUUAAAGGAUGGUCCCCCACACUGGUACUGAGACACGGACCAGACUCCUACGGGAGGCAGCAGUGAGGAAUAUUGGUCAAUGGACGAAAGUCUGAACCAGCCAUGCCGCGUGAAGGAUGACGGCCCUACGGGUUGUAAACUUCUUUUAUAUAGGAAGAAACCCCUCUACGUGUAGAGGGCUGACGGUACUAUAAGAAUAAGCACCGCUAACU